CUGGGCCCAGGGCUGGUGGUAGAACUCAGCCCGGCGUUCCUCUUCAGGGUUACCAGCCACAUCUGUCAUCACCUGGGAGGGAGCAUGGGAUCUGAGUUCCCCAGAACCUCACCUGCCCGAGUUGCAUGUCCAUCUUUCCCUCCCCACGUGCUUGUCUUGUUGUCAGUGCUCCCUGAGCCCUCUCUUCACCUUGAGGUCUCGGCUCUGAGAGCGGAGCAGGUCUUGGACGUAGCCUUUUGGGUCUCUGGAGAAACUUAGCAUGAAGUCCCUCUGGAUCUUGAGCUGGUUUAUGGACUCAAUCGUCUCGUGGAUCUACAGCUCUGGGCUCAGGCCGCACCUUACUGUCCAGAGCGCUGAUCUCCUGCUGGUUGGCUGUGGACAGGAGAAAGCUGCUCAUCUGCCCCUUCAGUGGCUCCUCUACCUCCACGUCAAUGUCAUAGCACGCUGUCUUCUUCUGGUCUGAUGGGUCCACGCUGCCAGAGAAGCCCAGCCUUUGAUGUCCAUGGUACACCCCACAGAAGUCCAGGGGUAGGGCAUGGGUGGGUACAGGAGAAGGGUGGAGAAAGCAGGGAAGGCUUUCCUCUGUGGAGGAAGCUAGGCCACCUCACCUGAUGACAUGGUUGAUGACAAUUGGGUCAGGGGGCAGCAGCAGGGCUGUGAGGCGCUGGGGAAUCUCAGAGAACUUCAAUCGGGGACAGUCAAAAAUCUGAAGCAGGAUUUUGAGAAGGGGGGGUCAUCCUUGUGUAUGUUGUGUGAAGAGACAGUAACUAAGUUGGAUCCUUCCAUUCUGGAAAGACCACAAGAAGCUGAGAGCAAGUCAGAUUACUGAGUGAGCAUGGCAAUGAGCCAGGCUGGAGGUGGAAAAGCAGGCAUGCCCAAGGGGAGGCCAGUGUGGACACUAAGUAUGCCUGUUUGGCUGUCAGUCCCUUGUACCACAUUCCGUGAGCAAAUUACUUAACACCUUGGGUCUCAGCGCCUCCAUCUCUAGAACUGGGGAUAUUAACAAUCCCCAUUUCAAUGGUUGUCAUGAAGGUUAGGUAAAUUAGAAUACAAAAGUAAGUGUUUGGAAUGGUAUAUGGUAAGUGCUCAAUAAAAUCCAACUACUCUUUCUACUCAGA
Non-coding RNA from Cricetulus griseus (Chinese hamster), 1118 nucleotides. The record is from RefSeq and is a predicted model, not a curated record. Lineage: Eukaryota; Metazoa; Chordata; Mammalia; Rodentia; Cricetidae.